RNAcentral lists this long non-coding RNA (499 nucleotides) under Brassica rapa (field mustard). Its description in RNAcentral is "long non-coding RNA (BRAP_LNC006118)". The record is from RNAcentral. Lineage: Eukaryota; Viridiplantae; Streptophyta; Magnoliopsida; Brassicales; Brassicaceae.
AAAAAACAAAAAACAUUAUACAUAAUUUGGAAAAUAAUAAAUAUAUGUAAACAUACAACAUAAAAAAUGGAAAUACUACAUUAAACAUAUGUACGAUUACCAUUUUACAUUUUUAUUUUAAAAAAAUAAUAUGUAAACAUACAACAUAAAAAAUGGAAAAACUACAUUAAACAUAUGUAAGAUUAUCUUUUUUCACAAAAAAAAAGACGACUUAUCUCCAUAAUGUAACAUUACUAUUUUGUAAAAAAAAUAUUAUAUAUAAUUUUGAAAAUAAUAAAUAAUAUGUAAACAUACAACAUAAAAAAUGAAAAUACUACAUUAAACAUAUAUAAGAUUACCAUUUUACACUAGAAAAAUAGAAAAAACGGCUUAUCUCCAUAAUGUAACAUUACCAUUUUAUAAAAAAAUAAAAAAACAUAAAUAUAACAAUUUGACUAUUUGUUCAAGUUCUUCUAUUAAAUAUUACCGUUUUACAUUAAAAAUAGAAAAAUACAUAAAG